GGCUGGCCCCGCCCCGGGGAGGGCCGACGGGGGCGUCCUCGCUGACGCGCGCGGUUGGGCCAGUGCCCCCGCACGGGCGGCUCUCAAGGAAGUGUGCUGCCAAGCUCUGUGUUGCCAAGCUGUGUACCCUGGCCCAGGGAUGUGCCCAACCAGGGUAUCAUGUGCCAUUGAGGGGAUAGCAUUAGCUUCAAAACAGAGGAGCCAGCAGAAAAAAACAGAACAGUCAGAGAAGUUGAAGAAGACCUGAGGAUUUGUUUCCUGGAAUCUCAGAAAGGCAAGAAGGUGAUUAAUGAAGCUGCAAGGUGCAGACAAAUCAACCAGAAGUGAUCUGCUAAGACUUUGAUAUUGAAUCCUAGGACUUCCUGGGCCCAAAGGAACCUAUAUCCCUUCAUUACAUUUUUUCUACAGAAUGAGGCAUGUACCCAGGUGAGUACAGGUCCUGGGUCUUGCAGGGGAUGCUGAGUCACCCCGCUGCAGGAGGGCAGGUCUGUGCACGCCCUGCUGAGGUCCUGGGUUGCACAGAACACACCGAGUCACCCCACUGCAGACAGGCAGCCACCUGGUUCCACACUACAAAGACGCAGAGGACACCAG
This is a long non-coding RNA of Heterocephalus glaber (naked mole-rat), 594 nucleotides long. RefSeq lists it as uncharacterized. The record is from RefSeq and is a predicted model, not a curated record. NCBI's taxonomy places the organism in Eukaryota, Metazoa, Chordata, Mammalia, Rodentia, Bathyergidae.